AUUAAUGCCCCUAAUUAAUAACACUAAUAGAAUUAAGGACUUUAUUAGAGAUGAUUUUGUAUUUCGUAGGUAGAUAACAACGGUUCAAACCGUCUCUAUAUAUAUUAAGGGUUAAAAUAGGAAUUUUAAAAUUUCUUCCCGUACGGAUUCUCACUUUCACUUAGAUUGUUUUUCUCAUUCUCGUUUUUACUUCAGUCCCUUUCACUUUAAUCGUUUUUCAUUCAAAUACAAAUCGAUUUAUCACUGAUUCAUACAAUGUAAAUGUUUUAACCGAUUCAGUGAUUAAAUACAGAGAUCGAUUUUUCAAUUUGUACAAGGAUUAGAAAUUAGGUUUUUAUCGAUUCAGCGAUUGAUUAGGUUUUUUUCAUCGAUUGAAUACAGAGAUCAAUAAAUAUCAGCGAUCGAUUUUUUCAUCGAUUCGAGAAUUUGAUUCAGAAACUCGUUUCAGCGGCGAGGAAGGCUUUCAUGUGUUGAUUUUAGUGUUAGGUUUCUAAGUUUGAGUUCUGAUUUAAUACCAACAAAUUUCAGGUGAAGUUAAAGUUAACAGUUUACACUGAUUUACCUCAUUUUCAGGUGCAGAAUUGAAUUCUGAUAUAGACUGCUAACUUGUGGUUCAUUCUGAUUUAGACUCCUAACUUGAGCUUCUGAUCAGGAUUACCAUCAGGUAACUUUGCUUGCUGUCAUUUCAGUGUUGCCGUAAUGCUUGAUUGUUUUCCGGAAUAGUAGAAAGCACAUAAGCUGGUAGGGGCGGUCAAAACCGCCCCUACGGACCGCCUCUAGUUUUGUACAUACCCCGGCGCCUGAAAAAACCGUCGCUACAACAUAGCUACGGUCAGAAAAACGACGCACGUGAGACGGUUUUGAAAAGUGUCUCUAAAUUCUGUAGAGGCGGUUUAAACCGCCCCUACAGUCAAUUUAAACUGCCCCUAUAGGCUAAGUCUGCUGUAGUGAAUAGACUCUCUAAUCAUAUAUUUUGGUAUCACAUGACAUGACAGAAUCCAAACAAAAGAUCCAAAUGCAGACAUAUAGAAUGAGCCAGUUUCUAGCUAAAACAUCACAAAACCAAACCAAAGCUCCAUAAAGUACGAGCCAAUUUUAUGAGCAAAAGAUUACCUUCAGCUGUUGAAAGAAGCAGACACGUCUCAAGGUCGGACGGAAAAGCUCCAGUCCGGCGUAUUUCAGAAGCACCCAGAAGGAGGACUCCCAGUGUAUAAAAUGAAUACUAAACUUAACAAAAUGUCACAAAAAGAGGACUCCCGGUCAUUUUUUGCUGACAUGGCCUCUUACUUCGUCCAAUCAAUGGGAAACACAUGGUUGAAAGUCCUUUUGUAAUGUUUCGCUAAGUUUACUAUUCAUUUUGUAAUAGAAAAUUGUUUAGUACUCAUACUACAAUUUCCGUAUAGUUUAGUACCCUUUCAAAUUUAACAUCCCUCGCUAUUCAAAUAGGAAAUUAAGAGUGAUAAAUUAAAUUGAGCCAUUUUCAAUCUAAACCAUGCAACCACAUAUUUCCUAAAAUCUUUCUUCAUGGGAUUUCGAGAACCCUUUGUCUUUUUCUACCUUAAAUCUAUAUUUAAAUAACUCUGUAUCAAAUUAAACCAUUUAAUUAGCUAUAGUCCGUUGAAACGUUACAGAAUAUACUUUUAUA
This is a long non-coding RNA of Mercurialis annua (annual mercury), 1645 nucleotides long. RefSeq lists it as uncharacterized. The transcript is spliced from 2 exons. NCBI's taxonomy places the organism in Eukaryota, Viridiplantae, Streptophyta, Magnoliopsida, Malpighiales, Euphorbiaceae. The record is from RefSeq and is a predicted model, not a curated record.